GAUGAACGCUGGCGGCGUGCUUAACACAUGUAAGUCGAACGAGAACGGAUUAUAGCUUGCUAUAAUUGUCAGCUAAGUGGCGCACGGGUGAGUAAUGUAUAGGUAAUAUGCCUCUUACUAAGGGAUAACAAAUGGAAACGUUUGCUAAUACCUUAUACUCCUUAUUAACAUAAGUUAAUAAGGGAAAGAUUUAUUGGUAAGAGAUUAGCCUGUAUUGUAUCAGUUAGUUGGUGGGGUAAUGGCUUACCAAGACUAUGACACAUAACUGGUUUGAGAGGAUGAUCAGUCACACUGGAACUGAGACACGGUCCAGACUCCUACGGGAGGCAGCAGUGGGGAAUAUUGCACAAUGGACGAAAGUCUGAUGCAGCAACGCCGCGUGGAGGAUGACACAUUUCGGUGCGUAAACUCCUUUUAUAUGAGAAGAUAAUGACGGUAUUAUAUGAAUAAGCACCGGCUAACUCCGUGCCAGCAGCCGCGGUAA
RNAcentral lists this ribosomal RNA (484 nucleotides) under uncultured bacterium. RNAcentral describes it as "partial 16S ribosomal RNA". It matches the Rfam family "Bacterial small subunit ribosomal RNA", at positions 28 to 523 of the family's 1533-position model. The record is from RNAcentral.